Molecule: ribosomal RNA, 253 nt
Filed under: uncultured bacterium
Lineage: Bacteria
Description: partial 16S ribosomal RNA
Rfam family: Bacterial small subunit ribosomal RNA
Source: RNAcentral
UACGGAGGGUGCAGGCGUUAUCCGGAUUCACUGGGUUUAAAGGGUGCGUAGGUGGGUUGGUAAGUCAGUGGUGAAAUCCCCGAGCUUAACUUGGGAACUGCCAUUGAUACUAUCAAUCUUGAAUACCGUGGAGAUCAGCGGAAUAUGUCAUGUAGCGGUGAAAUGCUUAGAUAUGACAUAGAACACCAAUUGCGAAGGCAGCUGGCUACACGGAUAUUGACACUGAGGCACGAAAGCGUGGGGAUCAAACAGG